UGGGGGAUAUUGCACAAUGGGGGAAACCCUGAUGCAGCAACGCCGCGUGAGGGAAGAAGGUUUUCGGAUUGUAAACCUCUGUCCUAGUUGAAGAAGAAUGACGGUAGACUGGGAGGAAGCUCCGGCUAACUACGUGCCAGCAGCCGCGGUAAUACGUAGGGAGCGAGCGUUGUCCGGAAUUACUGGGUGUAAAGGGUGAGUAGGCGGCUAGACAAGUCAGACGUGAAAUACAUAGGCUUAACCUGUGGACUGCGUUUGAAACUGUAGAGCUUGAGUAAAGUAGAGGCAAGCGGAAUUCCCGGUGUAGCGGUGAAAUGCGUAGAGAUCGGGAGGAACACCAGUGGCGAAGGCGGCUUGCUGGGCUUUUAACUGACGCUGAGUCACGAAAGCAUGGGUAGCAAACAGG
Molecule: ribosomal RNA, 406 nt
Filed under: uncultured bacterium
Lineage: Bacteria
Description: bacterial SSU rRNA
Rfam family: Bacterial small subunit ribosomal RNA
Source: RNAcentral